RNAcentral lists this long non-coding RNA (452 nucleotides) under Coffea arabica (coffee). RNAcentral's name for it is "long non-coding RNA (CARA_LNC004574)". The record is from RNAcentral. Lineage: Eukaryota; Viridiplantae; Streptophyta; Magnoliopsida; Gentianales; Rubiaceae.
UUGCAUCGUUUCAUUCUUCAUUUCCGCCUCUCCCUCUCUGCCGCACCCCGCAGCUACUUGUUUUGCUAGCAACCCACAGGCCACAGCCAGCUAGCAACCCACAACAGCACCCACAACCCCGCAGCCCCACAGCCCCGCAACACCGCAACCCAGCAACCCCGCAGCCCCACAGCCCCGCAACACCGCAACCCAGCAACCCCGCAGCCAGCAACCUCGCAACCCCGCAGCCUCGCAACCACAGCCCCGCAACUCGCAGCCGCACCCACAGCCCCGCCGUACUCCACAGCAAGCCGCAGUCCACAGCCGCAACCCACAGCAACGUCUGCCUCCACCGCCGCCCACAGACUCAACCCACAGGCCACAGCCUCUGUUUCUGCCAUUAACAACCGGUCCACCGCCGGGGCCAAAACCAGUCCAAUUUGACUGGUUUCUCUAAUCCUUCGUGAUUUCUG